CGAAGGGGCUAGCGUUGUUCGGAAUUACUGGGCGUAAAGCGCACGUAGGCGGAUAUUUAAGUCAGGGGUGAAAUCCCGGGGCUCAACCCGGAACUGCCUUUGAUACUGGGUAUCUGGAGUCCGGAAGAGGUGAGUGGAAUUCCGAGUGUAGAGGUGAAAUUCGUAGAUAUUCGGAGGAACACCAGUGGCGAAGGCGGCUCACUGGUCCGGUACUGACGCUGAGGUGCGAAAGCGUGGGAGCAAACAGGAUU
RNAcentral lists this ribosomal RNA (251 nucleotides) under uncultured bacterium. RNAcentral describes it as "partial 16S ribosomal RNA". It matches the Rfam family "Bacterial small subunit ribosomal RNA", at positions 527 to 779 of the family's 1533-position model. The record is from RNAcentral.